This is a long non-coding RNA of Eriocheir sinensis (Chinese mitten crab), 1122 nucleotides long. RefSeq lists it as uncharacterized. NCBI's taxonomy places the organism in Eukaryota, Metazoa, Arthropoda, Malacostraca, Decapoda, Varunidae. The transcript is spliced from 3 exons. The record is from RefSeq and is a predicted model, not a curated record.
ACGCGUAUCGAACAUGUCGGUGACGUCACUAGAUAAGCCAUCCCAGACGCUCCUUUAAAACCUGCUGCAUCUGCUCAACGCAUCUCAGAGCCUGGCUGGACGCCUUACAUCGUACACAUCCUGCACGAGACAGCCCGAGACAGACAGACAGGUUGAAUGACCUCAUGGAGAGACCAGCAGGACAUGGAGAGGAAGCAGAAGGAGGGACUGUUGAGCAAGGACGAUCUGAGCAAGGUCGGGGCCGUGGCUCUGGCUGCCGUGGGGGGUCUGUGUGCCGUGGACAUAGUGAGGUACACGACAAAGGCAGCCAAUGGGGAGAACACCGACGACUUCAACAGCUACACGUGGGACACUCUGAAGGCCAUUACCAGCGGGUGGCAGGACAACGAGAAUGAGAUGAAGGUGCUGUUGAAGGGCCUAGGCCUACAGGAAGCUGGACCGGUCAUGGAUAACAUCACACAGGCCAUUCAGAAACUCGAUAAUUAACCUGCCCCGAUGAAGAGAAAGGAAUGGAGGACAGAGAAAGAGAAGGCGCCUGGGGAAUGGAAGAGGAUGUGAAGGGAAAAGAAGAGGGAAGUAGAAGAGAAGAGAAGGAAGGAGAGGAGAGAGGACAGAAAAGAUAAAGAUGGAAGUAGAGGAAAGAAAAGGAGAGGAGAGAGAAGAGGGAAGGAGAAAAGAAGAGAAGGAAGGAGAGGAGAGAGGAGAGAAAAGGAAAGUAGAAAAGUGAAAAAGGGAGGAGAGGGAAGAAGAAGGAGAGGAAGGGAAAAGAGGAAAAAGGAAGGAGGAGGAGAGAAGGGGAAAGGAGAAAAGUGGAUAAGGAAGAAGAGAUGAGAGAGAAAUGAAAAAGGAAAAAGAGAAGACAAUGAAGUAAAGAAAAGGGAAGAGAAGAGGGGAAGGAAGGGGAGUGAGAAAAAAAUAAUAAUAUAGCAAGUUGAAUUUCCUAAUGGCUUCUAAGUAAUUGCAUGAUGUGAUUAAAUUGGGAUUACUAAUUGCUGUUGUUACUGCUUGUUAUUUUUAUUAUCAUUAUUAUUAUUAUUACCAUUACCAAAAAAAUAAGUUACCUGACUUUGUAAUGUUUGCUUGUGUUUAAUAUUUCUCAAAACUAAAGAAAACGAAUUACAA